This 254-nucleotide ribosomal RNA is filed under the name uncultured bacterium. RNAcentral's name for it is "partial 16S ribosomal RNA". It matches the Rfam family "Bacterial small subunit ribosomal RNA", at positions 524 to 776 of the family's 1533-position model. The record is from RNAcentral.
UACGUAGGAGGCGAGCGUUGUCCGGAGUUACUGGGCGUAAAGGGUGCGCAGGCGGUGGUGCGCGUGGAUAGAUGAAAUCUCCUGGCUUACCUGGGAGGAUGGUAUCCAGACGGCAUCACUUGAGGGUCGGAGAGGGGCGUGGAAUUCCGGGUGGAGCGGUGGAAUGCGUAGAGAUCCGGAGGAACACCGACGGCGUAGGCAGCGCCCUGGACGACACCUGACGCUGAGGCACGAAAGCUGGGGGAGCAAACAGG